RNAcentral lists this small RNA (124 nucleotides) under Rhodobiaceae bacterium. RNAcentral's name for it is "Guanidine-I riboswitch aptamer". It matches the Rfam family "Guanidine-I riboswitch aptamer". From Rfam's summary of the family: This family represents a conserved RNA structure found upstream of the ykkC and yxkD genes in Bacillus subtilis and related genes in other bacteria. Lineage: Bacteria; Pseudomonadati; Pseudomonadota; Alphaproteobacteria; Hyphomicrobiales; Rhodobiaceae. RNAcentral also lists the same sequence under 1 other name. The record is from Rfam by way of RNAcentral.
AGCAUUAGCAGCUAGGGUUCCGGCUGGUGUCCGAUUUAUCGGAUCAUCUGGUGACUGGUCCGAGAGCUGCGGCUCUGUCGGUUUACAGCGGCAGAGUACACGGCGGGAUAAAAGCCCGGGAGGU